GCUUCGAGGAGGAAAACGUAAUUAUGUCUUGUGAAUCCGCGCUAGAACGAAUAUGGGGGGGGGGAGAGACGCCAUGGCGUUGUUUACAUCCCGGGGCCCAGUAGCAGGUCCCAGCCUCUUCCUUCUCGGGUGAUUUCUAGAGUAAAUAAUUGAGAGAAGACUACAAGUGUGUCCCAUCCCUGAAUUGGGAGUUCCCUGCUUUGUGCUUUAAGUCAGGCCAACAGGUUGAGACACAAGCUGUUUUGGUCAGGACUUGAGGAUGUUGACCAGAGUCCGCUAAUAUCCUUCAAUAUUUAGUGUUACAGACACCUGCUCCAAGUGAUACGCCAUUACAGAAGUGUUCCGGUUCGGCCUCGUGCCCAUCGCUUGUCGUGCCCGGAAUGAGGACCGCAGCCAAGUGGCAUUGAGUCUCAACAACAAUGAAGUGAAUAUAUAUGGCAGAGCUGCAUCAGAGUGGAAGCUUCAGGAAACACUCCAGGGUCAUGAUCUGCGUGUCACAGGCAUUGACUGGGCUCCCAGCACCAAUCGCAUUGUUACAUGUGGAGCAAACGAAUAUGCAUCCCAGCCGGGGGGGGAGAGACGCCAUGGCGUUGUUUACAUCCCGGGGCCCAGUAGCAGGUCCCAGCCUCUUCCUUCUCGGGUGAUUUCUAGAGUAAAUAAUUGAGAGAAGACUACAAGUGUGUCCCAUCCCUGAAUUGGAAGUUCCCUGCUUUGUGCUUUGUUACA
RNAcentral lists this long non-coding RNA (726 nucleotides) under Homarus americanus (American lobster). RNAcentral describes it as "uncharacterized LOC121854530, transcript variant X3". The record is from RNAcentral. Lineage: Eukaryota; Metazoa; Arthropoda; Malacostraca; Decapoda; Nephropidae.